This 77-nucleotide transfer RNA is filed under the name Felis catus (domestic cat). It matches the Rfam family "tRNA". Rfam says of the family: Transfer RNA (tRNA) molecules are approximately 80 nucleotides in length. The record is from Rfam by way of RNAcentral. Lineage: Eukaryota; Metazoa; Chordata; Mammalia; Carnivora; Felidae.
GCCUGGGUGGCUCAGUCAGUUAAGCAUCUGACUUUGGUUCAGGUCUCAUAGCGUGGGUUCAAGCCCCGCUUCAGGCU